UACGUAGGGGGCGAGCGUUGUCCGGAGUUACUGGGCGUAAAGCGCCCGCAGGCGGUCCGUCGCGUUUGAGGUAACAGCGCCCGGCUUCACUGGGCGAGCGUCUCAAAAACGGGCGGACUUGAGGGCCAGAGAGGGAGACGGAAUUCCGGGUGGAGUGGUGAAAUGCGUAGAUAUCCGGAGGAACACCGAAGGCGCAGGCAGUCUCCUGGCUGGUACCUGACGCUCAUGGGCGAAAGCUAGGGGAG
This 245-nucleotide ribosomal RNA is filed under the name uncultured bacterium. RNAcentral's name for it is "partial 16S ribosomal RNA". It matches the Rfam family "Bacterial small subunit ribosomal RNA", at positions 524 to 768 of the family's 1533-position model. The record is from RNAcentral.